This 460-nucleotide ribosomal RNA is filed under the name uncultured bacterium. Its description in RNAcentral is "partial 16S ribosomal RNA". It matches the Rfam family "Bacterial small subunit ribosomal RNA", at positions 338 to 795 of the family's 1533-position model. The record is from RNAcentral.
CCUACGGGGGGCAGCAGUGAGGAAUAUUGGUCAAUGGGCGCUAGCCUGAACCAGCCAAGUAGCGUGAAGGAUGACUGCCCUAUGGGUUGUAAACUUCUUUUAUAUGGGAAUAAAGUGCAGUAUGUAUACUGCUUUGCAUGUACCUUAUGAAUCAGGAUCGGCUAACUCCGUGCCAGCAGCCGCGGUAAUACGGAGGAUCCGAGCGUUAUCCGGAUUUAUUGGGUUUAAAGGGAGCGUAGGCGGGUUGUUAAGUCAGUUGUGAAAGUUUGCGGCUCAACCGUAAAAUUGCAGUUGAUACUGGCAUCCUUGAGUACAGUAGAGGUAGGCGGAAUUCGUGGUGUAGCGGUGAAAUGCUUAGAUAUAACGAAGAACUCCGAUUGCGAAGGCAGCCUGCUGGACUGUAACUGACGCUGAUGCUCGAAAGUGUGGGUAGCAAACAGGAUUAGAUACCCCUGUAGUC